Molecule: transfer RNA, 61 nt
Filed under: Dendronotus frondosus (frond-aeolis)
Lineage: Eukaryota; Metazoa; Mollusca; Gastropoda; Nudibranchia; Dendronotidae
Description: tRNA-Asn
Source: RNAcentral
GAGGAAGAAGCUAUACAGCGUUUAACUGUUAAUUAAAAGAUAGCACUCAGUGCCUUCCUUU